GCAGCCGCGGUAAUACGUAGGGAGCAAGCGUUGUCCGGAAUCACUGGGCGUAAAGGGUGCGUAGGCGGUUAAUUAAGUCAGAUGUGAAAUCCCCGGGCUUAACCUGGGGGCUGCAUCUGAUACUGGUUGACUUGAGUGCAGGAGAGGAAAGCGGAAUUCCUAGUGUAGCGGUGAAAUGCAUAGAUAUUAGGAGGAACACCAGUGGCGAAGGCGGCUUUCUGGACUGCAACUGACGCUGAGGCACGAAAGCGUGGGGAGCAAACAGGAUUAGAUACCCC
This 278-nucleotide ribosomal RNA is filed under the name uncultured Coprococcus sp. RNAcentral's name for it is "partial 16S ribosomal RNA". It matches the Rfam family "Bacterial small subunit ribosomal RNA", at positions 511 to 788 of the family's 1533-position model. Lineage: Bacteria; Bacillati; Bacillota; Clostridia; Lachnospirales; Lachnospiraceae. The record is from RNAcentral.